RNAcentral lists this ribosomal RNA (253 nucleotides) under uncultured bacterium. RNAcentral describes it as "partial 16S ribosomal RNA". It matches the Rfam family "Bacterial small subunit ribosomal RNA", at positions 524 to 776 of the family's 1533-position model. The record is from RNAcentral.
UACGAGUGCCUCAAGCGUUAUCCGGAAUCAUUGGGCGUAAAGGUUGUGUAGGUGGUCAUAUUAGUCUUUUGUUAAAUUCUUCGGCUUAACCGGGGGCAUGCAAAGGAAACGGUAUGACUAGAGGAUGCGAGGGGUCUGCGGAACUCAUAGUGUAGCGGUGAAAUGCGUUGAUAUUAUGGGGAACACCAAAAGCGAAGGCAGCAGACUGGAGCACUCCUGACACUGAAACAAGAAAGCGUGGGUCGCGAAUGGG